Molecule: ribosomal RNA, 322 nt
Filed under: uncultured eukaryote
Lineage: Eukaryota
Description: partial 18S ribosomal RNA
Rfam family: Eukaryotic small subunit ribosomal RNA
Source: RNAcentral
CCCUUAGAUGUUCUGGGCCGCACGCGUGCUACACUGAGUGGAUCAGCGGGUCAGGUUGCGCGAAAGCGUUUCCUAAUCUUUAAAUCCGCUCGUGAUGGGGAUUGACGGUUGCAAUUUUCUGUCAUGAACGAGGAAUACCUUGUAAGCGCGGGUCAUCAUCCCGCGCUGAAUACGUCCCUGCCCUUUGUGCACACCGCCCGUCGCUCCUACCGAUUGGAUGGUCCGGUGAAGCCUCGGGAUUGUGGUUCUUGCCGCUUUAUUGUGGCGUGACCGCGAGAACUUGUCUAAACCUUAUCAUCUAGAGGAAGGUGAAGUCGUAACA